CCCUUAGAUGUUCUGGGCCGCACGCGCGCUACACUGAUGCAUUCAACGAGCCUAUCCUUGACCGACAGGUCCGGGUAAUCUUUGAAUCUGCAUCGUGACGGGGAUAGAUUAUUGCAAUUAUUAAUCUUCAACGAGGAAUGCCUAGUAAGCGCGAGUCAUCAGCUCGCGUUGAUUACGUCCCUGCCCUUUGUACACACCGCCCGUCGCUACUACCGAUUGAAUGGUUUAGUGAGGACUCCUGAUUGGCGCCGCCGCCCCGGCAACGGAGCAGCGGACUGCCGAAAAGUUGUUCAAACUUGAUCAUUUAGAGGAAGUAAAAGUCGUAACA
This 328-nucleotide ribosomal RNA is filed under the name uncultured eukaryote. RNAcentral's name for it is "partial 18S ribosomal RNA". It matches the Rfam family "Eukaryotic small subunit ribosomal RNA", at positions 1470 to 1796 of the family's 1831-position model. The record is from RNAcentral.